This 545-nucleotide long non-coding RNA is filed under the name Pogona vitticeps (central bearded dragon). Its description in RNAcentral is "lncRNA (ENSPVIG00000018730.1)". Lineage: Eukaryota; Metazoa; Chordata; Lepidosauria; Squamata; Agamidae. The record is from RNAcentral.
UUUGGCUGCUGUUAGUACUGCUCACUCAGUGUUGUUUCAAACCACUGCUGUUGUUUGCAGGGAUAGCCAAAGAAAUGGCCAUGAAUGGAAUAUCUCCAGAGGUUGCCUCAUUCAGACUCUGAGCAUAAUAGCUUAAGUAUUUACUUCAGAUUUUGGAGAAGAGGAAAAAGCAUAGCAGGAGAACAUCAGCAGAUGUGUGAGAAGGACAAUUACAGGUUUCCAGGUGGAGAGAGAAAAUAGCAUUUGAGGAUUUUUUUAAAUGCCUGGGCAUUGAUUUAUUCUCCAUUGUGCCUGGACAAGAACCAAUAGGUGGACAAGAACCAAUGGGUGGAAAUUCGUCAGAGGGAGACCCAACCUGGAAAUAAGGAGGAAUUUCCGGACAGUGAGAACCAUUAAGCAGUGGAACAGCUUCCCUCCCGAUGUUGUGGGUGCCCCAUCGCUGGAGGUUUUCAAGAAAAGAUUGGACAGCCAUGUGUCCGGAAUGGUAUGAGGUCUCGUGCCUUGGGCAGGGGGUUGGACUAGAAGACCUCCAAGGUCCCUUCCAA